Molecule: RNA transcript, 2007 nt
Organism: Panicum hallii
Lineage: Eukaryota; Viridiplantae; Streptophyta; Magnoliopsida; Poales; Poaceae
Gene name: serine carboxypeptidase II-2
Exons: 10
Source: RefSeq, a predicted model, not a curated record
UUUCCGUCCAGCGUCCACACACCUCACCUGCUCACCAGCAGACUUGCUCUGUGAUGCAUUCCUCUGAUGAUCCCCUCUCGCUUAGCCGAACCGCAACGGCUCCCGUGCCGCCCGCACGACCUGCUUGCGCUGCCGCAACUACUAGUCCGCCGCCGCUCCGCUGCUAUCCGCUAGCGUAGCCCCCCGCGCCGGAGUCGCCGCCGCGAUGGCCUCCCGAUCCGCCGGGGCCCUCGGGCUCCUCCUCCUCCUUCUAGCCGCCGUCGCGGUCGCGGGCUCCGCCGCCGCCGCCGGGGCAGGGGAGGGGAAGUGGCGGGAGGAGCAGGCGCGGGACCGGGUGCCGCGGGUGCCGGGGCAGGGCUUCAACACCAGCUUCGCGCACUACGCCGGGUACGUCACCGUCAGCGAGCCGCGCGGCGCCGCGCUCUUCUACUGGUUCUUCGAGGCCGAGAAGGACCCGGGGUCCAAGCCCCUCGUGCUCUGGCUCAACGGAGGGCCUGGAUGCUCGUCCAUUGCCUAUGGACUUGGAGAAGAAGUGGGACCUUUCCAUGUUAAUGCAGAUGGAAAGGGGGUACAUAUGAAUCCUUAUUCUUGGAACAAAGUUGCAAAUUUAUUGUUUGUUGAUUCACCUGUUGGUGUUGGUUACUCAUAUUCAAACACCUCUGAUGAUAUUUUAAGCAACGGGGAUGCGAGGACUGCCAAGGAUUCAUUAGAAUUCUUACUUAAGUGGCUUGAACGCUUUCCUCAGUAUAAGGGGCGUGAGUUUUAUUUGACAGGGGAGAGUUAUGCUGGUCACUACGUUCCUCAACUGGCUCAAGCCAUAAAAAGGUACCAUGAGGCCACCGGUGACAAAUCGAUUAAUCUAAAGGGAUACAUGGUAGGAAAUGCUCUCACUGAUGAUUUCCAUGACCACUAUGGAAUAUUUCAAUUCAUGUGGACUACUGGCUUGAUCUCCGAUCAAACAUAUAAGCUGCUGAACAUUUUCUGUGACUACGAGUCCUUUGUGCAUACAUCUCCACAGUGUGAGAAGAUUCUUGAUAUUGCUAGCACUGAAGCUGGAAACAUUGAUUCAUAUAGCAUCUUCACACCUACAUGUCAUGCAUCUUUUGCCUCCUCAAAGAACAAAGUGAUGAAAAGGCUACAUUCUGUUGGAAAAAUGGGAGAGCAGUAUGAUCCAUGCACUGAAAAGCAUUCAAUUGUUUACUUCAAUCUAGCUGAGGUCCAAAAGGCACUUCAUGUUAAUCCAUUGAUUGGAAAAUCAAAAUGGGAGACAUGCAGUGAAGUUGUUAAUACUCAUUGGGGGGACUGCGAAAGAUCUGUGCUGCAUAUCUACCAUGAACUUAUACAGUAUGGCCUUCGUAUAUGGGUGUUCAGCUUUGUCCAGUGGAGAUACAGAUGCAGUGAUUCCAGUGACAUCAACUAGGUACAGCAUUGAUGCUCUCAAGCUUCCAACAGUAACUCCAUGGCAUGCUUGGUAUGACGAUGAUGGCGAGGUUGGUGGCUGGACUCAAGGGUACCAGGGACUCACCUUUGUGACUGUGAGGGGUGCAGGCCAUGAAGUUCCUCUUCAUCGACCCAAACAGGCUCUCACACUCAUCAAAUCAUUCUUGGCUGGGAGUCCAAUGCCUGUGCAAUCCAGUGCACACAGUGACAUGUAACCUGUACUGCUACAACUGAUUCAAGAGAUGGCCAUCAUCAAAGUUCCAUCUCAACCAAGUCAGUUGUUGGAACCCCACUUAUUCUGAAACUUGCUAUGGUUGUUUAUGUAUCAGAGCUACUGGUGCCACUGUGCCAGUUACCAUAGCCGUUUAUUUACCGGCUUUGCUGGUGCUUGUGCCAAUUAUCCCCUAAGAAAACCGGGGUAAUAAACUGUAGAAUAGUUUUUGUUGCCACGGAACUGACACACCGUGUUGAACUGUUGAUGUUACUGUGAGCCUAAGAACAAAUUUGCAUGUGUCACUGUACUGUAUUUAUUUAUGCACAAGGUGUGAUUUCUGAUGUUUGCAAUAA